UAGAUUGGUUCUGCUAAAGCGGGUGCUA
RNAcentral lists this small RNA (28 nucleotides) under Bombyx mori (domestic silkworm). RNAcentral describes it as "ovarian small RNA-6318". Lineage: Eukaryota; Metazoa; Arthropoda; Insecta; Lepidoptera; Bombycidae. The record is from RNAcentral.